Molecule: ribosomal RNA, 166 nt
Filed under: uncultured bacterium
Lineage: Bacteria
Description: partial 16S rRNA
Rfam family: Bacterial small subunit ribosomal RNA
Source: RNAcentral
UGGGGAAUAUUGCACAAUGGGGGAAACCCUCGAUGCAGCAACGCCGCGUGAGUGAUGAAGGUUUUCGGAUCGUAAAGCUCUGUUGUAAGAGAAGAACGUGUGUGAGAGUGGAAAGUUCACACAGUGACGGUAACUUACCAGAAAGGGACGGCUAACUACGUGCCAG